UGGGGAAUCUUGCGCAAUGGGCGAAAGCCUGACGCAGCAACGCCGCGUGAGCGAAGACGGCCUUCGGGUUGUAAAGCUCUGUCAGGAGGGACGAAGCCACUCAGGUGAAUAGCCGAGAGGGUGACGGUACCUCCAGAGGAAGCCCCGGCUAACUACGUGCCAGCAGCCGCGGUAAUACGGAGGGUGCAAGCGUUGUUCGGAAUUACUGGGCGUAAAGGGCGCGUAGGCGGCCUGAUAAGUCAGAUGUGAAAGUCCACGGCUCAACCGUGGAAGUGCAUUUGAAACUGUCAGGCUUGAGUAUCGGAGGGGAGUGUGGAAUUCCCGGUGUAGAGGUGAAAUUCGUAGAGAUCGGGAGGAACACCGGUGGCGAAGGCGACACUCUGGACGAAUACUGACGCUGAGGCGCGAAAGCGUGGGGAGCAAACAGGAUUAGAUACCCUGGUAGUCCACGCCGUAAACGAUGUGAACUAGGGAUAGGGGGUGUUGAUCCCUCCUGUCCCGCAGCUAACGCAUUAAGUUCACCGCCUGGGGAGUACGGUCGCAAGAUUA
RNAcentral lists this ribosomal RNA (549 nucleotides) under uncultured bacterium. RNAcentral's name for it is "bacterial SSU rRNA". It matches the Rfam family "Bacterial small subunit ribosomal RNA", at positions 355 to 896 of the family's 1533-position model. The record is from RNAcentral.